RNAcentral lists this ribosomal RNA (164 nucleotides) under uncultured bacterium. RNAcentral describes it as "partial 16S rRNA". It matches the Rfam family "Bacterial small subunit ribosomal RNA", at positions 355 to 511 of the family's 1533-position model. The record is from RNAcentral.
UAGGGAAUCUUCCACAAUGGACGAAAGUCUGAUGGAGCAACGCCGCGUGGGUGAAGAAGGGUUUCGGCUCGUAAAACUCUGUUGUUAAAGAAGAACAUAUCUGAGAGUAACUGUUCAGGUAUUGACGGUAUUUAACCAGAAAGCCACGGCUAACUACGUGCCAC